AGGCGGAACGCGCAGGCGCAGACGGCCGGCUUCGGAAAGCCGCGCAUGCGCACAGGGCCGGGCCCCUCCCCAAUGCCGGUUCCACAGCUGUCAUGCUACCUUUAGGGGCCACCCCGGCCCGGGUGACACCGGGGUUGACGUGGGACAAAACCCCAAAGGACCGAGUGCGCCGUCACAGUUUCACCACGAAUGGAAUCCGAGAAGAUUGGCUCUGAGAUGGCGUUUCCGUCCGCUGUGACAGAAUAUCCCCGACCGGGUGGCUCACGAACGAUUUUGUCCUUGCAGUUCUAGAGGCCGGGAAGUCCAAGAUCAAGGUGCCCGCGGAUUUGUUGUCCGCUGAGAUCCAGCUUCUCCAUUCAAAGAUGGCGCCUUGUCCUUGUGUCUCCGUGGGAUGGCACAAGGCGAGGGGAAAACGCCGUGUCACCACCCUUUUAUAAGGACAUUAAUCCUGUUGGCGAUGGCAAUGGCCUCGUGGUCUCAUUAAUUCCCAAAGGCCCCCCCCCGCUGGGGGUUAGGUUUCAACAGAUGAAUUUCGGGGUGGGGGAUUGAAACAUUCCGUCUGUAGCAAUGAUAUAGGCGGGUGACCCAACAGGGUGACAAAUGUUUGCAGACCUCGGAGAGAAGGAGCCAGUCGGUAGCGCCCGGAAGAGCAGAGUUGGGUGGGAUUGGGGGGCCUUUGGGGAGCAGGUCCCAAGGGAGAGCCCGUGUCCCCUGUUAGCUUCAAGCUGCCCCUCCCGGCGGGUGGGCCCCGUGGUGUGACAUCCCAGCUCAAGGAGCAAUUGUCUCUUCCCUGGGUAGAUGCCAGCGUGAGUGGCUCAGCCUUUUGGCUCGAGCUGAGCACGCUGUUUUCCAAAGCGCUUUAUAAAUGUCCCCUGAUUCAUCGGUCCAGACAGCAGGUGACCGUCCCGGUGCACACGGUGUGUGCGAGCCCCAGGUGCAGAGAGAGGACCCAGCCUCGGCCGAGUGACAGGGUCCCGGGGGCUGGGGGACCCGCUCUGCAGCCAGUGCGUGUGUGACAUUGGGCGAGUCCCUUCCCUUUCCGGGCCUCGAGUCUUGCUGCACACCACAGACGUCUGAGGGUCACCUAGCAUUGACACACCGGGGUUCUGGGGACAGUCACACAGGGAGGGUCUCAGUGGAGGGAGGGAGGAGGGCACAUUUUUGGUUUUUUAUUCCCCCAGAUUCCUGUUUCUCGCCAGUGCUGGGGAUGAGGCAGGUCUGAGGUCCCCGUCGUGGGUUUCCCGGCUGCCUGGAGAUGGGGUCUCGCUACAUUGGCCAGUCUGGUCUCG
This is a long non-coding RNA of Lemur catta (Ring-tailed lemur), 1289 nucleotides long. RefSeq lists it as uncharacterized. The transcript has 4 exons. The record is from RefSeq and is a predicted model, not a curated record. NCBI's taxonomy places the organism in Eukaryota, Metazoa, Chordata, Mammalia, Primates, Lemuridae.